UACGUAGGGGGCAAGCGUUAUCCGGAUUUACUGGGUGUAAAGGGAGCGUAGACGGCCAGGCAAGUCUGGAGUGAAAGCCCGGGGCUCAACCCCGGGACUGCUUUGGAAACUGUAGGGCUGGAGUGCAGGAGGGGUAAGCGGAAUUCCUAGUGUAGCGGUGAAAUGCGUAGAUAUUAGGAGGAACACCGGUGGCGAAGGCGGCUUACUGGACUGCAACUGACGUUGAGGCUCGAAGGCGUGGGGAGCAAACAGG
This 253-nucleotide ribosomal RNA is filed under the name uncultured bacterium. RNAcentral describes it as "partial 16S ribosomal RNA". It matches the Rfam family "Bacterial small subunit ribosomal RNA", at positions 524 to 776 of the family's 1533-position model. The record is from RNAcentral.